Molecule: non-coding RNA, 73 nt
Organism: Bacteroides sp. SM23_62_1
Lineage: Bacteria; Pseudomonadati; Bacteroidota; Bacteroidia; Bacteroidales; Bacteroidaceae
Source: Rfam
GGUCCCGUAGUUUAACAGGAUAGAACGUGAGAUUCCGGUUCUCAUGGUAGGGGUUCGAGUCCUCUCGGGAUCA